This is a non-coding RNA of Gossypium arboreum, 132 nucleotides long. NCBI's taxonomy places the organism in Eukaryota, Viridiplantae, Streptophyta, Magnoliopsida, Malvales, Malvaceae. The record is from Rfam.
UGUUAAAAAUCCAACUAUUUGUACUGUUAAAAACUAGUGUGGCUAAUGAAAUAAACUGAAAGUCACAUGUUUACCUUAUGCUGACGUACAAGGACCAGUUUUUACCAGUAGAAUUAGAUGAAAAUUUUAACU